UCCGGCUUAACGCCGGCAGUCUCCCUAGAGUGCCCAACUUAAUGGUGGCAACUAAGGACGAGGGUUGCGCUCGUUGCGGGACUUAACCCAACACCUCACGACACGAGCUGACGACAGCCAUGCAGCACCUCUGUGGCGGCCCCCGAAGGGGAGACCCUGUUUCCAGAGCUGUCCACCACAGUUCAAGCCCAGGUAAGGUUCUUCGCGUUGCAUCGAAUUAAACCACAUGCUCCACCGCUUGUGCGGGCCCCCGUCAAUUCCUUUGAGUUACAGCCUUGCGGCCGUACUCCCCAGGCGGGGUGCUUAACGCGUUAGCUGCGACGCUGAAAGGGUCGCUCCCCCCAGCAUCUAGCACCCAUCGUUUACGGCGUGGACUAC
This 378-nucleotide unclassified non-coding RNA is filed under the name uncultured bacterium. Its description in RNAcentral is "contains 16S-23S intergenic spacer region". The record is from RNAcentral.